CAGCAGCCGCGGUAAAACAGAGGGUGCAAGCGUUAAUCGGAAUUACUGGGCGUAAAGCGCGCGUAGGUGGUUUGUUAAGUUGGAUGUGAAAUCCCCGGGCUCAACCUGGGAACUGCAUCCAAAACUGGCAAGCUAGAGUAUGGUAGAGGGUGGUGGAAUUUCCUGUGUAGCGGUGAAAUGCGUAGAUAUAGGAAGGAACACCAGUGGCGAAGGCGACCACCUGGACUGAUACUGACACUGAGGUGCGAAAGCGUGGGGAGCAAACAGGAUUAGAGACCCGUGUAGUCCCUGUCUCUUAUAA
RNAcentral lists this ribosomal RNA (301 nucleotides) under uncultured bacterium. RNAcentral's name for it is "partial 16S ribosomal RNA". It matches the Rfam family "Bacterial small subunit ribosomal RNA", at positions 509 to 809 of the family's 1533-position model. The record is from RNAcentral.